This is an RNA transcript of Nomascus leucogenys (northern white-cheeked gibbon), 1754 nucleotides long. It is a transcript of the gene named 40S ribosomal protein S5 pseudogene, with no coding region annotated. The record is from RefSeq and is a predicted model, not a curated record. Lineage: Eukaryota; Metazoa; Chordata; Mammalia; Primates; Hylobatidae. The transcript has 3 exons.
GCCCCAAACUAGAAACAGCCCAAAUGUUCACCAACAAGUGAGUGAAUGAACAAAUUAUGGUACAUUCAUACAAUGGAGCACCACUCAACAAUAAAGAGGAACAACCUAUUGAUCAUCAACAUGGAUGAAUCCCAGAGACGUGUUAAGUGAAAGAUGUCAAAGGAGUAUAUAUUAUAUGAUUCCAUGUAUAUGAAAUUGACUAGCAUAGAAAACUUUUUUAUGGUGAUAGAAAUCCCAGGAAUGGUAGCCUCAAGGUUGAAGGGAGUAACGGUAAAGCUUGAGCACAUUUGCAGGGGUAAUAGUGCUCCAUAUCUUGAGUUGGGUGAUAACACAGGUGUAUCCACUUUUCAAAACUUGUCCAAGUAUAUAUUUAAGAUUUAUGCAUUUUAGUGUAAGUAAAUUAUACCUCAAUAAAUAGAUUUUAAAAUAUUGUUGAUAAUUCAAAAAAUAGAACUUCAUUUGCCCAUCUCCAGUCUUUCGGCUUCUCUUCCUCUGUGGUAAAAAUUGCUGACUCUACUUACAAGAUCUUAUUUGUGAGUUCUUACUGUUGCAUGAUUUUAUUUAUAAUUCUAAUAAUGAAAUUACUUUUUAAAAACUUAUUUCUCUUUCAAUUCCAGGCCAAAAUUGACCUUUCUCAAGAUUCUCUUAGUUUACAAACUGAGGUCUGUCAUCCUCUGGUCACUGAAGUGAAGUCUGCUUAGGACAUAUUGUCCUGUAAAUAGGAUUGACAUUCCCUGGGGCCCUCUCAAUCUCUCUGAGCUUCCCUUUCCAUUUCUGACCAUUGAGAUGCUUACGAGAUGCUUUUCUCUGACUUCUUCAGUUCCAGCUGCUCCUUUCCAUUACCCUAAAGCUGUGGAUCACAAAGAGUGUUCUCCAGACCAGCAGUAUCUGCACCACCUGGAUCUUGUUAGAAAUGCAGAUUUUCGAACCCCACCCAUGAGCUACUGAAACAGAACUCUGAAGAACUUUAUCAUAAAGCUGCUCAAAAUUUCAGAAAAUCUAUCUCAGAAAAGCAUUGCUGCUUAUGUCUCUAGUACCGCACACCUUUAUCGAGUUGCAUCAGUAGUUUCAUACACUGGGUGGCGCAUGGUCUAUGCUGAGCGACAGAGACACUCAGGUUGUGUUCUCAGGAUGACCAAGUGGGAGACAGCAGCACCAGCAGUGGCAGAGACCCCGGACAUCAAGCUCUUUGGGAAGUGGAGCACCGAUGAUGUGCACAUCAAUGACAUUUCCCUGCAGGAUUACAUUGCAGUGAAGGAGAAAUAUGCCAAGUACCUACCUCACAGUGCAGGGUGGUAUGCCACCAGAAUCUUCCGCAAAGCUCAGUGUCCCAUUGUGGAGCGCCUUACUAACUCCAUGAUGAUGCACAGCUGCAACAACGGCAAGAAGCUCAUGACUGUGUGCAUCGUCAAGCAUGCCUUCAAGAUCAUACACCUGCUCACAGGCAAGAACCCUCUGCAGGUCCUGGUGAAUGCCAUCAUCAACAGUGGUCCUCAGGAGGACUCCACAUGCAUUGGGUGCACCGGGACUGUGAGACGACAGGCUGUGGACGUGUCCCCACUGCGCCGUGUGAAUCAAGCCAUCUGGCUGCUGUGCACAGGUGCUCGUGAGGCUGCCUUCUGGAACAUUAAGACCAUUGCUGAGUGCCUGGCAGAGGAGCUCAUCAGUGCUGCCAAGGGCUCCUCCAACUCCUAUGCCAUUAAGAAGAAGGACGUGUGGCCUUCUUGGAGCGUGUGGCCAAGUCCAACCGCUGA